RNAcentral lists this unclassified non-coding RNA (21 nucleotides) under Mus musculus (house mouse). RNAcentral describes it as "oocyte_clustered_small_RNA10028". Lineage: Eukaryota; Metazoa; Chordata; Mammalia; Rodentia; Muridae. The record is from RNAcentral.
AGGAAGCAGCUAGCAAUGAUG